Molecule: long non-coding RNA, 1275 nt
Organism: Daphnia magna
Lineage: Eukaryota; Metazoa; Arthropoda; Branchiopoda; Diplostraca; Daphniidae
Exons: 2
Source: RefSeq, a predicted model, not a curated record
AUAUAACGGAGCGUAAAUCUGCCCUCAUGGCCAAUAACAUUUGUUAACCAUUUAUUACAGUUGCUUUUUGACGUCCUUAGCCCAAUCUAAUGCGGGCCACUGUAGAGUAUAGCCGCUGCGACUUGUCUUGUAUCAAACCAAGUAACGCAGUGAUUGCAAAAAAAUGUUUAAAAUUCAUUUAUACAAACAUAGAUUGACGUAAAGGACAAAUUACGAACAGCUAUGUCAAUGAGUUUUAAGCUUUUAACUGCUGAAGCGUUGCCUAAAUAGGCAGUACCGGUAGCAAGCAAUUACAGACGAAGUUUUUCUGCCAGUUUUGUGCAAAAACAAAAAACAAAAAAACUAGGCGAUCAACAUAGAGAAAGAUAACCCCACUUCUCAAAGAUAAUGUAAUGUACGCGGUAAAGUACAAACGUGGCGAAGAGACUGAAGAUUAUGGAAUGAAAACCAAUAAGUACUUCCGGACUAGACAGUUUGUCCGGAACCCAUAGACAUGAGCAAAUGUACGAGAAAAAAAGUGACGUGCGGCCACCAAGCUCCGUGGAUAUGUUCGAAGUAAUUCGAUCGGCAGGCUUGCUAAAAAGGAAAUACUGGGCCCAAUAUAUAAUAGGAAAUUAGUGCAACCCUAAGCUAUGUAUUUAUAUUGAGAGUGAGGCGUGGGGCGUCACACUUGUUGCCCCCAUGCCCAGGCUUCCCAAUCCUCCCUUUGAGCUGUUGCUAACUUGCUAGUGUAUACUCGUCGAUCCAUUUGAGGCGAUUAAGCCAUAGCAACGUACUGCCCUCUCCCACUUUUCCACUCUCAUCGUAUUGGACGUCGUUGAUCUGGUCUUGUAUAUAAAAGGCCCCGGAUGGAUUCAGUCUAGCAUAACAGUUUCGUCUUCUCUCCGCAGACGGACAGACUCUCGGGCCGCUUCAGUCAUUGCAACUCAAUCGCAGAAGAAAAGUUUUUGUUUUCCAUGGUGCUGGAUAUUUUUGUAAGAACAUACUUAGAACACCGCAGAGGGUUACCAUCACGACAUGGUUUGGGCUGAUCGUCGUCGAAGCUGAAGACAUCUUUUGAUUCUUCAACCAUGUGAUGACUUCAGAGUAAUGCUGUUCCACCCAUUGCACGUUGGAUUGCGCCAAUUCUAAACCCUGGUUGACUGUCUUGGAAGACCCCAAAACAUCGAGGUGAUCGUCGCGUAAUUUAGUCAGCUGUACGUGACAUAUAAAUCGUUAUCAUGAAGUUGUUUCACGAAUUCAAACUGUAAAUACAAAGGGCAAUUUCGUAAUUUA